RNAcentral lists this ribosomal RNA (233 nucleotides) under uncultured bacterium. RNAcentral's name for it is "partial 16S ribosomal RNA". It matches the Rfam family "Bacterial small subunit ribosomal RNA", at positions 103 to 334 of the family's 1533-position model. The record is from RNAcentral.
CGGGUGAGUAACGCGUGAGGAACCUGCCUCAAAGAGGGGGACAACAGUUGGAAACGACUGCUAAUACCGCAUAAGCCCACGGCUCGGCAUCGAGCAGAGGGAAAAGGAGCAAUCCGCUUUGAGAUGGCCUCGCGUCCGAUUAGCUAGUUGGUGAGGUAACGGCCCACCAAGGCAACGAUCGGUAGCCGGACUGAGAGGUUGAACGGCCACAUUGGGACUGAGACACGGCCCAG